Molecule: long non-coding RNA, 587 nt
Filed under: Urocitellus parryii (Arctic ground squirrel)
Lineage: Eukaryota; Metazoa; Chordata; Mammalia; Rodentia; Sciuridae
Description: lncRNA (ENSUPAG00010006594.1)
Source: RNAcentral
CUGGCCAAUAGGGCUCCCAGGGGGAAAGUCAGUGUCUUGGAGGAGCGUGAGCAGGCGAGACACAGAGAUGGGUGGAGCUGACAAGGUCACUGGAUGCCCCAUGUCCUGCCUCAUCCUGGAAAGGACAGACACAGGAGCCUGGUCUGCUGGCAGGCCCCCUGCUGGGCUGGCACAGGAAGACCUCUGCCAACUUGAGGUCUACUACAGUGGAGCUGAAUUCAAGGUCUGGUCACUUGAUGUGCCACGUGAUGCAACCCAACCCAACCACACCAAGCCAUGGGUCUCUAGAUGGGCCAUCAUCAUCCCAGCAGAAAAGGUGAUAGAUGCCUGUUCCAGAAGUACCUUGUCUAUCGGAAACAUGUGUUCCCAACUGACCUAGAAGAGAUGAAAGGAACCUAUUAUGUGGAAGAAAUAGAGAAAAUCAUCAUGGACAACCUCUUCCACAAAUUAAGUGCCAACAAGUCAAGGUGUUUUCCAGGGACCUCUGCCCAAGGGUUAAAGAGCAGACACUUCCAGCACAGUUAAAACUUCCCCAGAAUGUACAGAAAGAAGAAAAACAUCCGAAUUAUACUUUGUCAUGAAUAGAG